UUUUUUUUUUUAAUGUAUAUGCCCUUCUACCUUGGUUUCCCACUUCAUUCUGGAUGGGUUGGUGAUGUUAUGGAUUCAGGGAAUUGAGUCUAUAGGUCUCUGGAAGUUACACUAUUGUUUCAGGACAGACAGGAGUGCGGGAGGAAUGUCACACAAACCCACCUGGGAAGCCUGACCUGUUGUCAGCAAUUUCUCUGAAGACUCCUGGCUCACUCUUUAUGGUAAAUGACAGAGACCACAAUUCGUGUG
Long non-coding RNA from Neogale vison (American mink), 249 nucleotides. RefSeq lists it as uncharacterized. The transcript is spliced from 3 exons. The record is from RefSeq and is a predicted model, not a curated record. Lineage: Eukaryota; Metazoa; Chordata; Mammalia; Carnivora; Mustelidae.